CCCUUAGAUGUUCUGGGCAGCACGCGCGCUACAAUGGUCUUCGCAAACGGAUGCAUUCUCGAAGGAGAAUGCCAAUCUUGGAAUCUAUGCCUUGGUCGGGACAGUUGCUUGCAAUUUUUCGACUCGAACCAGGAAUUCCUUGUAAUCGUGAUUCAUCACAUCACGAUGAAUACGUCCCUGCCCUUUGUACACACCGCCCGUCGCUCCUACCGAUCGAAGAGUUAGGUGAAUUGUUUUGAUCGAUAAGAUUUGACUAUGGUCAACUCUCGUUGUGAAAUUCCGUGAAGCUGACUGUUUAGAGGAAGGAAAAGUCGUAACA
RNAcentral lists this ribosomal RNA (319 nucleotides) under uncultured eukaryote. RNAcentral describes it as "partial 18S ribosomal RNA". It matches the Rfam family "Eukaryotic small subunit ribosomal RNA", at positions 1470 to 1796 of the family's 1831-position model. The record is from RNAcentral.